Molecule: ribosomal RNA, 330 nt
Filed under: Vietscorpiops sp. S525
Lineage: Eukaryota; Metazoa; Arthropoda; Arachnida; Scorpiones; Euscorpiidae
Description: partial large subunit ribosomal RNA
Source: RNAcentral
CUAAUUUAUUCUGUCUCAUUUUAAUAUUUUUAAUUUUAUAUUUUAGUAAAAAAGCUAAAAUUUACUUUUAAGACGAGAAGACCCUAUCAAGCUUUAUAAUUAAUGUUUAUUUUCAAAAUAAAUUUAAGAUUAUUUUACUGGGGCAGUGAAUAAACUAAUUUUAUUUUAUUAUUGUAAGAUAUAACUUUAGUAAAAUCAAAAAAUUUUUAAAUAAAAAUAAGUUACUGUAGGGAUAACAGCAUUAUUUUUUUUAAGAGAUCUUAUCAUCAAAAAAGUUUGUGACCUCGAUGUUGGAUUAAGAUUCCUAUUUAGCGCAAUAGCUUAAUAAGG